CAAGGAGCUGAGUUUUGAGUUCAGGUGCCCGCGUGGCAGUGGAAUGAUGCUUCCUGACCUUUCAGACCUUUGAGACCUCUGGGCGGUCUUAGACUUCACCUGGAGCCUCCUGUCCAGGAUGCGACCACCUAGGGGAAUUCCAGGGAAAGGUGGCAGAGAUAUCAUGGACUGAAAGGUGAUGGGUACCCCAAUGAGCUCACUACAAGAUCUCAAAGAUUCCAAGCCACUGGCUGCUCCAAAGCAUAAAGCCACCCUUCUGGAGAGGCGGCAGGAAGGAAGCCUGGAGGAGGCUCCACUUUUGGCCAGAGGACAGACCACCUUCUUAGGUCUCUGGGAGAACUGCUGAAGGACAGUGAGGGAGAUGUUGCUGGUCCCCAGGACAGAAACCCAGCAGCUGGAACCAAGAAGCACCUGGAGUGGGACUCAAGCCCAGCACCCCUUCAGACUGAAGCUCUCUGAGCUGCGUGUGGUUCCCGACUGGACUGUUUUUGCUUUGCCGUCACCUGCGUAACACAGUUCUGGAUGCUUUUGAAUGGUUGGCUUUCUUUCCUUUUUUUCCCCCUCUGUCUUUUCUUUUUUCUUCUCUUGGCCCUGAGAAUUGUAAGAAAAGAAUUGCUUUAGAAAGUAUAAUUCUGUUGCUGAAAUUAGCCUUCUUUAUGAACAAAUUCUGUCCCUAAGGAUUUUCUGAAUUGCAAUCCCAGGUUACUUGGUAGAUGGGGCUGUAUGAUUUGAUUUGUGUAGUACUGAUCCUUAGAUUAAAAAUACAUUUUCUUUCUUUGUUUUUUUUUUUUUUCUUUCAAGUUUUGGAUCCAGGUAAUGGCCCGAGUCACAUUUGCUUAGCUACUGAAGCGAUCUCAAUGUGGUAUCGCUUGGAGUUGAAAUAUAAUCAAACAUAUAUUAUACCUGGGGCUCUUGCACGCUAUAUGGUAUAUAUGUUAUGCUACAAAGAAACACAAACCUUGUAGGUUGAAAUUUAAUUCCUGUCUGAUCCUGCAGUUAGAAUGGUGGAAAAAUUAUAAAUAUCAAAAGCGGCUUCAAACACCCUGAAUGUAAGCUAACCAACAAUAAGUGGACAGUUUGGAAAUGCUGUUUUCCAAGGCAAAGCAGGAAUUGGAGAUCAGCUGACCUUGUCAACAGGGUUGCUCAGGUCUGUCUGUCUGUGGAUCUGCUCAUUUUGGAGGAAUCCGAGGACAAGGCCUGCUUCUAUGUUUGGGUUUAUGGAAAUUGUGGCAUCUCUGACUGAAUGCUCUGUAACUGUGCCUGCCUUGCAAUAAAACACCUUUGGUUGAC
This is a long non-coding RNA of Ailuropoda melanoleuca (giant panda), 1290 nucleotides long. RefSeq lists it as uncharacterized. The record is from RefSeq and is a predicted model, not a curated record. The transcript has 3 exons. Lineage: Eukaryota; Metazoa; Chordata; Mammalia; Carnivora; Ursidae.